This 505-nucleotide ribosomal RNA is filed under the name uncultured bacterium. RNAcentral's name for it is "partial 16S ribosomal RNA". It matches the Rfam family "Bacterial small subunit ribosomal RNA", at positions 28 to 507 of the family's 1533-position model. The record is from RNAcentral.
GACGAACGCUGGCGGCGUGCCUAAUACAUGCAAGUGGGACGCAAGGAAACACACUGUGCUUGCACACCGUGUUUUCUUGAGUCGCGAACGGGUGAGUAACGCGUAGGUAACCUGCCUAUUAGCGGGGGAUAACUAUUGGAAACGAUAGCUAAUACCGCAUCAUAUUAAUUAUUGCAUGAUAAUUGAUUGAAAGAUGCAAGCGCAUCACUAGUAGAUGGACCUGCGUUGUAUUAGCUAGUUGGUAAGGUAAGAGCUUACCAAGGCGACGAUACAUAGCCGACCUGAGAGGGUGAUCGGCCACACUGGGACUGAGACACGGCCCAGACUCCUACGGGAGGCAGCAGUAGGGAAUCUUCGGCAAUGGACGAAAGUCUGACCGAGCAACGCCGCGUGAGUGAAGAAGGUUUUCGGAUCGUAAAGCUCUGUUGUAAGUCAAGAACGUGUGUGAGAGUGGAAAGUUCACACAGUGACGGUAGCUUACCAGAAAGGGACGGCUAACUACGUG